Hordeum vulgare subsp. vulgare (domesticated barley) is the source of this 1595-nucleotide long non-coding RNA. RefSeq lists it as uncharacterized. The transcript is spliced from 2 exons. The record is from RefSeq and is a predicted model, not a curated record. Lineage: Eukaryota; Viridiplantae; Streptophyta; Magnoliopsida; Poales; Poaceae.
CAACCCUAGCCAAAUUAGUCAAAUCCUAAAGAUUAGCAGAUUUGUCCCUUAGCCGCUGCCGCCACGUCUUCCUCGGGGUCUCCCUGAUCCAGCCACCACCCACCAUGGAAUUCCUAAGCCACCCUACCGCAGCUAGUCGCCAGUGGCCACCUCACUCUGUUGUCCCUGGACGUGUCGGACGACCAGAGGACCUCGAGCUCCAAAGGCCCGACCCUCCCUUGCCCCCAUCCCCGAGUACCUGCCCGACCCUGCGCUCGUCUCCUCACCGGAGCGUGCCUCCGGCGGCCGCCCUCGACCAGGCUAGGUCGUCCUGCUCCCUUCCUCCUCCUUCCUUCGGUUUCCUUCUCCACUUCUCAUCUUUCUCUUCCUCACGUUUUUCUACAGGGAGAGUGGAGACCACCAUGGCCAUGACCGCGAGCUCGCCAUGGGUGCCAACUUCUGCAGCCGCCCGCUUGCCAUAGCUCCUCAUGUACGGAUCCGCCUCCGCCGCCCCAGAUCCGCCCGUCCCCGACUCUGACCGCGUGGACCUUCAUGACCUCGUCGGAGGACGGCGGCGUCGUAGCGCCGGAGUUGAGAAGUAGAACAAGAAGAAGCUUUGCAUGGCCUGCACAAACUCGACGCCCAGCGCCGCCUUUUCUAUGGUGAGAGACCUACUAUUGGCCGUUCCCGAUGCCCACGUCCGAGGGCCCCGUCCCUGUCGCGCCCUCGGUCAUUGACCAUAGGCCUGCCCUUGUAGCUCCACCAACGGGUUGAUCUGGCCCGAGGUGAGCCUCCGCCCUGCGUCAUGUCUUGUUCAGUCGAAGCUGAAUCUAGCCAGAACCAGCCUCCUAGUCCGUCUAGCAACAGAGAAAGAUGCUCAUCUAGGAGGUCUGGGGUUCAAAUCCUAGUCGCGCUUGUGUUUUGUUUUUCUUAUUUCCAUUAACCUGUUAAUCUUUGUUAUGCACUCAGAUGCGUCAUAUUAGCAUAGUUCCUCCGUAGCCCAACUAGUCGAGUGUUGCGUUGCAACCGGGAGGUCUUGGGAUCGAGUCCGAGGCAUCCCAUAAUUCCUAUGUCGUUAUCGAACGUUGUCACACGAUCAUGGGCCUGAUAUGCUGCUGGUUGGCACUAUGCCUCCAGAUUCGGCCCACUUAUUUUUUUCUGUGUCUCUGCGAAUUUCAACAAUAUCCACAACAUUGCAUAUUUGCAGCAUUUGCCACUGUUUUAGUAUGUGAAUAACUAAUUAACUGGGCAUAGGAUUAAAAUGUUUUGAACAUGUAAAAUGUCCAGAAUUUUGUGUAGGUUAAUAAUAUCCAACUUUUAUCCUUGUUUUGUUUUUCUUAUUUCCAUUAACCUGUUAAUCUUUGUUAUGCACUCAGAUGCGUCAUAUUAGCAUAGUUCCUCCGUAGCCCAACUAGUCGAGUGUUGCGUUGCAACCGGGAGGUCUUGGGAUCGAGUCCGAGGCAUCCCAUAAUUCCUAUGUCGUUAUCGAACGUUGUCACACGAUCAUGGGCCUGAUAUGCUGCUGGUUGGCACUAUGCCUCCAGAUUCGGCCCACUUAUUUUUUUCUGUGUCUCUGCGAAUUUCAACAAUAUCCACAACAUUGCAUAUUUGCAGCA